ACAACGAAGAGUUUGAUCCUGGCUCAGGAUGAACGCUAGCGGCGGGCUUAACACAUGCAAGUCGAGGGGCAGCAUGAAAUUUAUUUAUUUAGAUUUUGAUGGCGACCGGCGGACGGGUGCGUAACACGUAUGUAACCUACCUUUUUCUAGAAAAUAGCCUGAGGAAACUCGGAUUAAUAUUCUAUAAUACAGUAUUUUCGCAUGAAAAUAUUAUUAAAGCAGAAAUGCGGGAAAAGAUGGGCAUGCGCCCGAUUAGUUAGUUGGUGGGGUAAAGGCCUACCAAGACGAUGAUCGGUAGGGGGCCUGAGAGGGUGAUCCCCCACACUGGUACUGAGAUACGGACCAGACUCCUACGGGAGGCAGCAGUGAGGAAUAUUGGUCAAUGGAGGAAACUCUGAACCAGCCACGCCGCGUGCAGGAAGAAUGCCUUAUGGGUUGUAAACUGCUUUUGUUUAGGAAUAAAAAUUUCUACGUGAUAGAAAUUGUGAAGGUACUAAACGAAUAAGUGUCGGCAAACUCCGUGCCAGCAGCCGCGGUAAUACGGAGGACACAAGCGUUAUCCGGAUUUAUUGGGUUUAAAGAGUGCGUAGGCGGUUUAUUAAGUCAGUAGUGAAAUGUUACAGCUUAACUGUUAAAAUGGCUAAUGAUACUGAUAGACUUGAGUGAGAUUGGAGUAAUUGGAAUGUGUGGUGUAGCGGUGAAAUGCAUAGAGAUCACACAGAACACCGAUCGCGAAAGCAGGUUACUAAAUCUAUACUGACGCUGAGGCACGAAAGCGUGGGGAGCAAACAGGAUUAGAUACCCUGGUAGUCCACGCCGUAAACGAUGAUCACUAGUCGUUGGAUUUUAUUAUUCAGUGGCUAAGCGAAAGUGAUAAGUGAUCCACCUGGGGAGUACGAUCGCAAGGUUGAAACUCAAAGGAAUUGACGGGGGCCCGCACAAGCGGUGGAGCAUGUGGUUUAAUUCGAUGAUACGCGAGGAACCUUACCAAGGUUUAAAUGUACUACGAAUAAGCUAGAAAUAGUUUAGUCUUCGGACGGAGUACAAGAUGCUGCAUGGUUGUCGUCAGCUCGUGCCGUGAGGUGUUGGGUUAAGUCCCUCAACGAGCGCAACCCUCAUUGUUAGUUGCCAACGAAUAAUGUCGGGGACUCUAGCAAGACUGCCGACGUAAGUCGAGAGGAAGGUGGGGACGACGUCAAAUCAUCACCGGCUCUUAUACCUUGGGCUACACACGUGCUACAAUGGUCGGUACAAAGGGUUGCUAUUGAGUAAUCAUAAGCUAAUCUCUAAAAACCGAUCUCAGUUCGGAUUGGAGUCUGCAACUCGACUCUAUGAAGUUGGAAUCGCUAGUAAUCGCAUAUCAGCCAUGAUGCGGUGAAUACGUUCCCGGGCCUUGUACACACCGCCCGUCAAGCCAUGGAAGUCGGGGGGACCUGAAAUUGGUGACCAUAAAAGGAACUGCUUAAGGUAAAAUCGAUAACUGGGGCUAAGUCGUAACAAGGUAGCCGUACCGGAAGGUGUGGCUGGAACAUCUCUUUU
Molecule: ribosomal RNA, 1539 nt
Filed under: Blattabacterium sp. (Cryptocercus punctulatus) str. Cpu
Lineage: Bacteria; Pseudomonadati; Bacteroidota; Flavobacteriia; Flavobacteriales; Blattabacteriaceae
Description: 16S ribosomal RNA
Rfam family: Bacterial small subunit ribosomal RNA
Source: RNAcentral